AUCAUAAUUGAAUUCAGCUCGUUCCACUCUAAAAUAUGAUCUGAAAUACAGAAACUACAUUGUAUGCAUUUCUCAAUUGAUUUGGUGGUUAUUAGUCUGAGAUCUGUAGGUAAAGAUGAUCAGGUGAAAAAGGAUGAUGCCUCUGGCCAGGAACAGAACGCCCUAUUUGGAUGGGGGAAGAAGAAGGACAAAGAUGGGGAUAAGUGUGUGUCCAAGGACAAAUCAAAGGACCAUGACAAAUCGAAGGACUGUAAGCACCAUGACAAAUCAAAGGACCAUAAGGAGGACAAAGACAAGUCUAAGGAACAUAAAGACAAGAAACAUGGUGACAAGAAGGACAAAGGUCAUAAGAAGAAGAAAGACAAGAAGCCAAAGGAGCAUAAGGACAAAGAUGAUGGGUCAUCAUCUUCCUCGUCCAGCAGCGAUGAGGAUGAAGGCAAGAAGAAGCAUCACUGAUUCUGGUGCUGUGAGGAAGUGCUACUGCCGGUGAACUCUUACAAUGUUUUGUACUGCAAUGUUGCAUGCAUGAUAUUUACUGUGUACUGUUUCCUUGUUGCUCCUGAUCAUGUUUUGAUGUGCCAGACUGUAAAGUAGUGGUUUUACAACCGAAUAUUAAAUAACCCAACAACCAGGAUAUAUGGUGAAUGUCAGACUUCUUUCCUCCCUCGUAAAAAGUCUAAUGUCCACCAGAAGGGGGAGGUGUUCUUCAUUGAAUGUUUAUUUAACCU
This 728-nucleotide long non-coding RNA is filed under the name Salmo salar (Atlantic salmon). RNAcentral describes it as "lncRNA (ENSSSAG00000081928.1)". The record is from RNAcentral. Lineage: Eukaryota; Metazoa; Chordata; Actinopteri; Salmoniformes; Salmonidae.